UUGCGUGUAGCUCAGCUGGUAGAGCGCCCGGCCGUUAACCGGGAGGUCGCGGGUUCGAGGCCUGCCGCGCGAGCCA
RNAcentral lists this transfer RNA (76 nucleotides) under Bacteriophage sp. Its description in RNAcentral is "tRNA-Asn". It matches the Rfam family "tRNA". Rfam says of the family: Transfer RNA (tRNA) molecules are approximately 80 nucleotides in length. Their secondary structure includes four short double-helical elements and three loops (D, anti-codon, and T loops). Further hydrogen bonds mediate the characteristic L-shaped molecular structure. tRNAs have two regions of fundamental functional importance: the anti-codon, which is responsible for specific mRNA codon recognition, and the 3' end, to which the tRNAs corresponding amino acid is attached (by aminoacyl-tRNA synthetases). tRNAs cope with the degeneracy of the genetic code in two manners: having more than one tRNA (with a specific anti-codon) for a particular amino acid; and 'wobble' base-pairing, i.e. permitting non-standard base-pairing at the 3rd anti-codon position. The record is from RNAcentral.